Molecule: non-coding RNA, 275 nt
Organism: Oryza punctata
Lineage: Eukaryota; Viridiplantae; Streptophyta; Magnoliopsida; Poales; Poaceae
Source: Rfam
GAUUUCAACUGAAAAAGUUAUCAACAACAAAGUUGAAUAACUCAUCAAGAUUUAAAACUUUUAUUUUGAUCUUUUCUUUAUCCGAUAAAGUGAUACUAACAUUGUUCACAAAAUUGACAUAUCUCUUAUCUGGUUUUAUAAACUAUAACACAUAUAUGUAAAAUUUGUGAACAGUGUUACUAACACUUUAUCGGAUGAAGAAAUGACAAAAAUAAAAGUUUUAGAUCUUGAUGAGUUAUACAAUUUUGUUGUUGAUGACUUUUUCAAUUGAAAUC